Non-coding RNA from Pluteus cervinus, 79 nucleotides. NCBI's taxonomy places the organism in Eukaryota, Fungi, Basidiomycota, Agaricomycetes, Agaricales, Pluteaceae. The record is from the annotation of a GenBank genome assembly.
GGGACGGUAGCAUAACGGUAAAUGCACUACAACUAGUAACACUUGUCUUACGAUCUCAGUUCGAAUCUGAGCCGUUCCA